RNAcentral lists this ribosomal RNA (253 nucleotides) under uncultured bacterium. RNAcentral describes it as "partial 16S ribosomal RNA". It matches the Rfam family "Bacterial small subunit ribosomal RNA", at positions 524 to 776 of the family's 1533-position model. The record is from RNAcentral.
UACAGAGGUCCCAAGCGUUGUUCGGAUUCACUGGGCGUAAAGGGUGCGUAGGCGGUCGGGUAAGUCUGAUGUGAAAUCUCAGAGCUCAACUCUGAAACUGCAUUGGAUACUAUUCGGCUUGAGGUCUGGAGGGGGGACUGGAAUUCUCGGUGUAGCAGUGAAAUGCGUAGAUAUGCGGAGGAACACCGAUGGCGAAGGCAAUCCCCUGGGCCUGCACUGACGCUCAUGCACGAAAGCGUGGGGAGCAAACAGG